GACAGAGGAGGCGAGCGUUAUCCGGAGUUAUUGGGCGUAAAGGGUACGUCGGCGGCUGGUCAAGUCUGGGGUUAAAGACCACAGCUUAACUGCGGGGGGGCCUUGGAAACUGACCGGCUGGAGUGGGGCAGGGGUUGCGGGAAUUCCCGGUGUAGCGGUGAAAUGCGUGGAUAUCGGGAAGAACACCUGAGGCGAAAGCGCGCAACUGGGCCCUAACUGACGCUGAGGUACGAAAGCUAGGGGAGCGAAUGGG
Molecule: ribosomal RNA, 253 nt
Filed under: uncultured bacterium
Lineage: Bacteria
Description: partial 16S ribosomal RNA
Rfam family: Bacterial small subunit ribosomal RNA
Source: RNAcentral